UACGUAGGCGGGCUUGUAAGUGUCCUGUGAAAUCCCCCGGCUCAACCGGGGAACUGCGGGGCAAACUGCAAGUCUUGAGGAAGCUAGAGGCCGGUAGAACGAUUGGUGGAGCGGUGGAAUGCGUAGAUAUCAAUCGGAAUGCCGAAAGUGAAGACAGCCGGCUGGGGCUUUUCUGACGCUGAAGCACGAAAGCGUGGGGAAGCAAACG
RNAcentral lists this ribosomal RNA (208 nucleotides) under uncultured bacterium. RNAcentral's name for it is "partial 16S ribosomal RNA". It matches the Rfam family "Bacterial small subunit ribosomal RNA", at positions 568 to 774 of the family's 1533-position model. The record is from RNAcentral.